This 494-nucleotide ribosomal RNA is filed under the name uncultured bacterium. RNAcentral's name for it is "partial 16S ribosomal RNA". It matches the Rfam family "Bacterial small subunit ribosomal RNA", at positions 28 to 507 of the family's 1533-position model. The record is from RNAcentral.
GACGAACGCUGGCGGCGUGCUUAACACAUGCAAGUCGAACGGUGAAGCGCCUUCCUUUUUGGUGGGUGUGGAUGAGUGGCGAACGGGUGAGUAACACGUGAGUAACCUGCCCCCUUCUUCUGGAUAACCGCAUGAAAGUGUUGCUAAUACGGGAUAUUCUGGUUCUGUCGCAUGAUGGGUCUGGGAAAGAUAUUGUUUCGGUGGGGGAUGGGCUCGCGGCCUAUCAGCUUGUUGGUGGGGUGAUGGCCUACCAAGGCGGUGACGGGUAGCCGGCCUGAGAGGGUGGACGGUCACACUGGGACUGAGACACGGCCCAGACUCCUACGGGAGGCAGCAGUGGGGAAUAUUGCACAAUGGGCGCAAGCAUGAUGCAGCGACGCCGCGUGAGGGAUGGAGGCCUUCGGGUUGUGAACCUCUUUCGCCAGUGAAGCAGGCCUGCCUCGUUUGUGGGUGGGUUGACGGUAGCUGGAUAAGAAGCGCCGGCUAACUACGUG